RNAcentral lists this ribosomal RNA (391 nucleotides) under uncultured bacterium. RNAcentral describes it as "bacterial SSU rRNA". It matches the Rfam family "Bacterial small subunit ribosomal RNA", at positions 28 to 420 of the family's 1533-position model. The record is from RNAcentral.
GACGAACGCUGGCGGCGUGCUUAACACAUGCAAGUCGAGCGGUAAGGCCCUUUCGGGGGUACACGAGCGGCGAACGGGUGAGUAACACGUGGGUGACCUGCCUCUAGCUCUGGGAUAAGCCUGGGAAGCUGGGUCUAAUACCGGAUAUGACCUCGCGGUGCAUGUUGCGGGGUGGAAAGCCUUGUGCGGCUAGGGAUGGGCCCGCGGCCUAUCAGCUUGUUGGUGGGGUGAUGGCCUACCAAGGCGACGACGGGUAGCCGGCCUGAGAGGGCGACCGGCCACACUGGGACUGAGACACGGCCCAGACUCCUACGGGAGGCAGCAGUGGGGAAUCUUGCGCAAUGGGCGAAAGCCUGACGCAGCGACGCCGCGUGAGGGAUGACGGCCUCGG